RNAcentral lists this ribosomal RNA (253 nucleotides) under uncultured bacterium. RNAcentral describes it as "partial 16S ribosomal RNA". It matches the Rfam family "Bacterial small subunit ribosomal RNA", at positions 524 to 776 of the family's 1533-position model. The record is from RNAcentral.
UACGUAGGGGGCUAGCGUUGUCCGGAAUCAUUGGGCGUAAAGAGCGCGCAGGCGGUCGUUCAAGUCGCGUGUGAAAGCCCCCGGCUCAACUGGGGAGGGUCACGCGAUACUGAUCGACUCGAAGGCAGGAGAGGGUAGUGGAAUUCCCGGUGUAGUGGUGAAAUGCGUAGAUAUCGGGAGGAACACCAGUGGCGAAGGCGACUACCUGGCUUGUUCUUGACGCUGAGGCGCGAAAGCUAGGGGAGCAAACGGG